AGAACCUUUAACUCAGUCCCGAGAGGCUGGCAAGGUAGCGUGAAUAUUGGUCAUUAAUGGACGGAAUUGGACAAUCCACCCGCAUUCGUGUUUUUGAAAUCAUGAUGCGACGAGUGGGCUCCGAUUUUUUCCCGACUGGUCACAGACUCCUUGCGGACAUCUUCGCAUGGAGUCUUUUUGU
Molecule: non-coding RNA, 181 nt
Organism: Paenibacillus sp. MY03
Lineage: Bacteria; Bacillati; Bacillota; Bacilli; Caryophanales; Paenibacillaceae
Source: Rfam